This is a non-coding RNA of Anopheles gambiae str. PEST, 176 nucleotides long. It matches the Rfam family "drz-agam-2-2 ribozyme". The record is from Rfam. NCBI's taxonomy places the organism in Eukaryota, Metazoa, Arthropoda, Insecta, Diptera, Culicidae.
AGCAAUUUUGACAUUUGUUGAUGUAGGGCAUGAUACAGGCUCUCCCUUCCAACUCCUAUUCUGACACGUCCUCGUCGUGCAGCGUGGUAACAUGUGCCUCCAUAUAUCCUAGCAUGGGUACACGGGCUAGAUCCAACCCCUUGGGCGGAUGGUGGCAUAUGGCGAACCAGGAGGGA